CUUAGUGGCGGACGGGUGAGUAACGCGUGGAUAACCUGCCGUAUACAGGGGGAUAACACUUAGAAAUAGGUGCUAAUACCGCAUAAGCGCACGGUUCCGCAUGGAACAGUGUGAAAAACUCCGGUGGUAUACGAUGGAUCCGCGUCUGAUUAGCCAGUUGGUGGGGUAACGGCCCACCAAAGCGACGAUCAGUAGCCGGCCUGAGAGGGUGAACGGCCACAUUGGGACUGAGACACGGCCCAAACUCCUACGGAAGGCAGCAG
Molecule: ribosomal RNA, 263 nt
Filed under: uncultured bacterium
Lineage: Bacteria
Description: partial 16S ribosomal RNA
Rfam family: Bacterial small subunit ribosomal RNA
Source: RNAcentral